AUUGAACGCUGGCGGCAUGCUUUACACAUGCAAGUCGGACGGUAACAGGGUGCUUGCACCGCUGACGAGUGGCGAACGGGUGAGUAAUGCGUCGGAACGUGCCGAGUAGUGGGGGAUAACGCAGCGAAAGUUGUGCUAAUACCGCAUACGUACUGAGGUAGAAAGUGGGGGACCUUCGGGCCUCACGCUAUUCGAGUGGCCGACGUCUGAUUAGCUAGUAGGUGAGGUAAAGGCUCACCUAGGCGACGAUCAGUAGCGGGUCUGAGAGGAUGAUCCGCCACACUGGGACUGAGACACGGCCCAGACUCCUACGGGAGGCAGCAGUGGGGAAUUUUGGACAAUGGGCGAAAGCCUGAUCCAGCCAUGCCGCGUGUCUGAAGAAGGCCUUCGGGUUGUAAAGGACUUUUGUCAGGGAGGAAAUCCCUAGUGCUAAUAACACUGGGGGAUGACAGUACCUGAAGAAUAAGCACCGGCUAACUACGUGCCAGCCGCCGCGGUAA
RNAcentral lists this ribosomal RNA (500 nucleotides) under uncultured bacterium. RNAcentral describes it as "partial 16S ribosomal RNA". It matches the Rfam family "Bacterial small subunit ribosomal RNA", at positions 30 to 523 of the family's 1533-position model. The record is from RNAcentral.